AAUCGGGGCAGGGUGAGUCGACCCCUAAGGCGAGGCCGAAAGGCGUAGUCGAUGGGAAACAGGUUAAUAUUCCUGUACUUGGUGUUACUGCGAAGGGGGGACGGAGAAGGCUAUGUUGGCCGGGCGACGGUUGUCCCGGUUUAAGCGUGUAGGCUGGUUUUCCAGGCAAAUCCGGAAAAUCAAGGCUGAGGCGUGAUGACGAGGCACUACGGUGCUGAAGCAACAAAUGCCCUGCUUCCAGGAAAAGCCUCUAAGCAUCAGGUAACAUCAAAUCGUACCCCAAACCGACACAGGUGGUCAGGUAGAGAAUACCAAGGCGCUUGAGAGAACUCGGGUGAAGGAACUAGGCAAAAUGGUGCCGUAACUUCGGGAGAAGGCACGCUGAUAUGUAGGUGAGGUCCCUCGCGGAUGGAGCUGAAAUCAGUCGAAGAUACCAGCUGGCUGCAACUGUUUAUUAAAAACACAGCACUGUGCAAACACGAAAGUGGACGUAUACGGUGUGACGCCUGCCCGGUGC
This 517-nucleotide ribosomal RNA is filed under the name Escherichia coli. Its description in RNAcentral is "partial 23S ribosomal RNA". It matches the Rfam family "Bacterial large subunit ribosomal RNA", at positions 1367 to 1869 of the family's 2925-position model. The record is from RNAcentral. Lineage: Bacteria; Pseudomonadati; Pseudomonadota; Gammaproteobacteria; Enterobacterales; Enterobacteriaceae.